UGGGGAAUAUUGGACAAUGGGCGCAAGCCUGAUCCAGCCAUGCCGCGUGUGUGAAGAAGGCCUUUUGGUUGUAAAGCACUUUAAGCGAGGAGGAGGCUACUUGGAUUAAUACUCUAGGAUAGUGGACGUUACUCGCAGAAUAAGCACCGGCUAACUCUGUGCCAGCAGCGGCGGUAAUACAGAGGGUGCGAGCGUUAAUCGGAUUUACUGGGCGUAAAGCGUGCGUAGGCGGCUUCUUAAGUCGGAUGUGAAAUCCCUGAGCUUAACUUAGGAAUUGCAUUCGAUACUGGGAAGAUAGAGAAGGGAAGAGGAUGGUAGAAUUCCAGGUGUAGCGGUGAAAUGCGUAGAGAUCUGGAGGAAUACCGAUGGCGAAGGCAGCCAUCUGGCCGAAUACUGACGCUGAGGUACGAAAGCAUGGGGAGCAAACAGG
RNAcentral lists this ribosomal RNA (430 nucleotides) under Acidobacteriota bacterium. Its description in RNAcentral is "Acidobacteria bacterium partial 16S ribosomal RNA". It matches the Rfam family "Bacterial small subunit ribosomal RNA", at positions 355 to 776 of the family's 1533-position model. Lineage: Bacteria; Pseudomonadati; Acidobacteriota. The record is from RNAcentral.